UACGGAGGGGGCAAGCGUUGUUCGGAAUUACUGGGCGUAAAGGGCGCGCAGGCGGCUGCUCAAGUCAGGCGUGAAAGGCCUGGGCUCAACCCGGGAAUUGCGCUUGAGACUGGGCUGGCUUGAGUGCGGGAGAGGAUGGUGGAAUUCCCAGUGUAGAGGUGAAAUUCGUAGAUAUUGGGAAGAACACCGGUGGUGAAGGCGGCCAUCUGGACCGCAACUGACGCUGAGGCGCGAAAGCGUGGGGAGCAAACAGG
RNAcentral lists this ribosomal RNA (254 nucleotides) under uncultured bacterium. RNAcentral's name for it is "partial 16S ribosomal RNA". It matches the Rfam family "Bacterial small subunit ribosomal RNA", at positions 524 to 776 of the family's 1533-position model. The record is from RNAcentral.